UCCACACACACACAUACACACACACACACAUGUAGCUACAGCCCAAACUGUAUAAGGGGUUUAUCUAGCUCUGUAAAGCCAAAGCAGGAGAUAUAAAGACACACACAGAGCCACAGAGAGUAUUUUACCGGCGUGUUUGAACGUUUCCAAAUCUCAGAAUAAAAUGUCUUCACCUGCUGAGGUGUGUGUGGCUGUCUCAGUGUGUGGGAGGCCUUCCAGUGUGCGCGCUGUUCACGGUUUGGAUACGGUGGACUCUUCAGUUGCUCACCGCAUCCAGGUACGCCUGUGUGUUUGUUUGUAUGUCUAGCUGUUAUUGUCAGUUGUUGUUGGGUAGUUUAUACACAGCUAACUGCUAGCAGGAUAGCUAAAUGAGCUAAAUGUGGGGAGUCCGAGGACAAGACUGUCUCGAGACCUCCAGCUGACAUGAAAAAAAAAACGGCGGGAAUAGCGAGACCUCAGAUGCGCGUCAGGGCGCGAGCGCGGUAGUGCUGUGCACGCGCAUUCUCCUAGCACCUGCCCUCAGAGUCUUAAGUACAUUUUUUAACAUGUUUUAUGUUAUAAGCUAACAGAAAAUACAUUGUUUUCUUACUUUUUUAUGUUAAAAAUGUUUUUUGUUAUGAGCAGUAGAAUUUGAUAAGCUUAUAGUAGGAAAAAUAACUUCAUUUAAUCAGUAGUUUCUCAGUUGACAACAAAAGCAUAAAUAGCCUGUAUUGUAUGCUAAUUAUAAAUGACACAUUUGUAUUUGGGACUGUAUUAGGCUAUAAAGCAUAGUUGUAAAAUAUUAGUAUAUAGUUAUUUUUAGUUAUUGUACAUUUAUUUUGAAAUGGAAAAGCUGUUCUAAAUUAGACUCUUAGGUUCCUAAUAAGAUAAUAAAAUAUAGGAUUUUUUUUUAAAAUCGUCAUUAGGUUGUAGCCUAAAUGCUGCACCAGAUUUAAAGAAAAAAAAGUCCCAAAACUGCCGCAUCCAUUGUUUUAGAAAACAAGACAAGCAUUAUGAAAGCAUUAGGAAGUUGACUCAUUUAUUCAGAAUUAUUUAGUACAGUCACUAUUUUUCUCCUCCAAGUUAUUUUCUUUGUGAUUUUUACUCUUUAAAUUGUGCUCUUGAAUGUGCAUAAAAAGAUAAGCCCUCCCUAAGAUACAGGGCUAGGUACCAGUCUAAAUAUUAAUGCUCUUAUUCAAAGCAGCGGAUUUUACUGUUGCAUGACAAGUAAUGUUUUCUGGGUUGUUUGUUUUGGAAAUUGUUCCGUGAUGCUUGUGGUUUGGACGCACUAGGACCCAGAGUAGAAGCAAAUUAAGGGCAACCAUCACAUAAGAGGCUUAGUGCAUCUAAUCUAUACUCCCACAGACAAACACACACACACACACACACACACACACACACACACACACACACACACACACACACACACACACAGCAGGGCACAGCAUUUCGUAAACAUCCCAUUUUGAAACAGGCACGCAUACAUGUCCCACAGGCAAACACCGCCAUUGUAUUUUCAUUUAGUUUUCAUUUUCUCCAAACUCUUUUAUUCCCCUUGUUGACCUUAACUGCCAUCCCACUUUGUUAGAGAACAUUUGCCCAUAUGCUCCACUAUUUCUCUCAUCCCUUUUUCAUUAGUGAACGCCCUUCAAUAAACUAAGAAGCUGAGAGCAAACUCAUCCAUUCUGGACAGCUAUAGUUUAAAAAAAAGAAAGAAAAAUACUCAGAUAUGAAAUCCUCCUCAUCUGUAUGCUCAGCGCUGCUCAGAUGGAUGUCUGAAUGUUUUAAUUCCAAAGGAUAAAAAAAGGAUUUCAAACUGGAAUUGAAAUGAAGUUUCACUCAGUCAUUGCUCAUGAAAUGUUCCCGAGGCUUUUUUACUGACAGAAAAUUUACUCUGUGUGUGUGUGUGUGUGUGUUUGGGCAUGAUGGAGAUGAAAAAAGCUGUUUUUGUGCCAUUUGCAACACGUCAAAGACCAAAAACCAUUAAAUUCAAAAAGGCCUAAAACACACAUACACAUACAUGCACAAACCCUCCACACACACACACACAUUUUCCCCAGCUGUUAAAUACUCUGACAUCAUAUUGUUCGAUACACAGCACAUUUUUGUAUGUCUGUGUACACUCUGUGUGCUUAUAGUGUGCAUGUGUGUGUGUGUGAGACAGUUACACACACAUACACACACGCGCACAGAGUUCAGCCGAUUUAUCAUAAUAUGCUUUAUCUGAAAAGUAAGUAUCUUACCUCGGGAUAAAGGGAGGAAAGAGGGGUUUGUGGCCAGAUUGACAGAGGAAGGGUGGAUGGAGAGAACUGAGCGCUCACUGCACUGGAACGGAGAGCCUGGACCUUAACUUCUGUGGCUGGAUUGAUCAGUUUUGAUAAGGUUCCUGUGCAUGCAAUGCAGCAAUGGGGGUUGAAGAGCCAGCUGGUUUUACCACUGCAGCACUGUUCCCAUCCUGUUGGCAUGGGGUUAAAACAGGCCAUAAGAGUUUAUGUGCCAACGCUUAUACCUUUAUACACAAUCUUAUGUUAUCUAAGAAGUACAGAAAUGCUCCCAUAAAGUAAUUGAAGGCGAGACACUUAAAGCCUAUCAAUGCAACUUAGGACCGUGCUCCAACCACUAGGAGCUUUAACAAGACUAGCAGGGCUUUUUGAUGCUCUCAGUCUAAAUCCUUAAUGUGUCUGCAAACAAAUUGAGAAUCUAGUCUUUAAAUAUCCUUCUUCUCAGUCCUGUAAGCUUUCAAAUGACCUUAAAGUAUUAAUCUUAUCUUUAAAAUGUAUUAUUGGAUGGGCAUUGGUAAAGUUACAUUACAUAGCGCCAGUUCACAACAGCAGUUAUCUCUAUGAGCUUUACACUGUAAGGUAAAGACCCUGAAAUAUCAGAUGUAAAUUCUAAUGAAUGGAACAACCCCCAGACCACUUGGUGACUGUGGGAAAGAAGAGACCUCAGCAGGCUGUGGGGCAGCUGGGGGUGGUAAGGAAACAGGACAGCACCGAGGAGCAAAGAGAGCUCAUAAACAACAAACAAGAUGAAACACAAACUACUGGAAACUGCUGCAGAACAAACACGUGUAUGAUGUGUAACAUCACAUGGCUACCAUAGAGAUAUUGCAACGGUACAGUAUUUGUUUAAGACAAUUUCAGGGCAGUGAAUACUGUGAAACUACUUGGCAGGUAAGUAAAAAAUAUUGUUGUCAAUGAGAGAAUCAGCAUUAUUAAUAAUGUAGGAUCACAGUUUAACUUCUGUAAACUAACAGGAUAUUCAUGUAAUCUGCUUCUAAUAAUAAAGUAAAAGCAUAAACACGC
Molecule: long non-coding RNA, 3284 nt
Organism: Haplochromis burtoni (Burton's mouthbrooder)
Lineage: Eukaryota; Metazoa; Chordata; Actinopteri; Cichliformes; Cichlidae
Exons: 2
Source: RefSeq, a predicted model, not a curated record